ACGCUCGACACCUACGGGGGGCAGCAGUUGGGGUAAGUAAUUGGACAAUGGAGGAAACGUACUGAUCCAGUGACGCCGCGUGAAGGAAGAAGGUCUUCGGAUUGUAAACUUAUUUUGUCAGGGAAGAAAAAUGACUGUACCUGAAGAAAAAAGCACCGGCUAACUACGUGUCAGCAGCCGCGGUAAUCUGAGCGGGCUGGCAAGG
This 205-nucleotide ribosomal RNA is filed under the name uncultured bacterium. RNAcentral's name for it is "partial 16S ribosomal RNA". It matches the Rfam family "Bacterial small subunit ribosomal RNA", at positions 328 to 539 of the family's 1533-position model. The record is from RNAcentral.